AUCGAUUCUUGGCCUUUUGGCUAAGAUCAAGUGUAGAGCAGCAUUAUCAACAGCAGCAAACCUAUGGAGACAGCCCAAAUGUCCAUCAACUGAUGAAUGGAUAAAAAAGAAGUGGGGUGUGUGUGUGUAUGUAUGUAUGUAUAUGUAUAUAUACAUAUACAUAUAUAUAUAUAUAUAUAUAUAUAUAUGCACAAU
This 195-nucleotide small nuclear RNA is filed under the name Panthera leo (lion). Its description in RNAcentral is "U2 spliceosomal RNA (ENSPLOG00000021150.1)". The record is from RNAcentral. Lineage: Eukaryota; Metazoa; Chordata; Mammalia; Carnivora; Felidae.